CCAGUCGAACGAUGAAGCCCAGCUUGCUGGGUGGAUUAGUGGCGAACGGGUGAGUAACACGUGAGUAACCUGCCCCCGACUCUGGGAUAAGCCCGGGAAACUGGGUCUAAUACCGGAUAUUACCUUUGACCGCAUGGUUGUUGGUGGAAAGAUUUAUCGGUGGGGGAUGGACUCGCGGCCUAUCAGCUUGUUGGUGAGGUAAUGGCUCACCAAGGCGACGACGGGUAGCCGGCCUGAGAGGGUGACCGGCCACACUGGGACUGAGACACGGCCCAGACUCCUACGGGAGGCAGCAGUGGGGAAUAUUGCACAAUGGGCGAAAGCCUGAUGCAGCGACGCCGCGUGAGGGAUGACGGCCUUCGGGUUGUAAACCUCUUUCAGUAGGGAAGAAGCGAAAGUGACGGUACCUGCAGAAGAAGCGCCGGCUAACUACGUGCCAGCAGCCGCGGUAAUACGUAGGGCGCAAGCGUUAUCCGGAUUUAUUGGGCGUAAAGAGCUCGUAGGCGGUUUGUCGCGUCUGCCGUGAAAGUCCGAGGCUCAACCUCGGAUCUGCGGUGGGUACGGGCAGACUAGAGUGAUGUAGGGGAGACUGGAAUUCCUGGUGUAGCGGUGAAAUGCGCAGAUAUCAGGAGGAACACCGAUGGCGAAGGCAGGUCUCUGGGCAUUUACUGACGCUGAGGAGCGAAAGCAUGGGGAGCGAACAGGAUUAGAUACCCUGGUAGUCCAUGCCGUAAACGUUGGGCACUAGGUGUGGGGGACAUUCCACGUUUUCCGCGCCGUAGCUAACGCAUUAAGUGCCCCGCCUGGGGAGUACGGCCGCAAGGCUAAAACUCAAAGGAAUUGACGGGGGCCCGCACAAGCGGCGGAGCAUGCGGAUUAAUUCGAUGCAACGCGAAGAACCUUACCAAGGCUUGACAUGUGCCAGACCGCCUCAGAGAUGGGGUUUCCCUUCGGGGCUGGUUCACAGGUGGUGCAUGGUUGUCGUCAGCUCGUGUCGUGAGAUGUUGGGUUAAGUCCCGCAACGAGCGCAACCCUCGUUCCAUGUUGCCAGCACGUAAAGGUGGGGACUCAUGGGAGACUGCCGGGGUCAACUCGGAGGAAGGUGGGGAUGACGUCAAAUCAUCAUGCCCCUUAUGUCUUGGGCUUCACGCAUGCUACAAUGGCCGGUACAAUGGGUUGCGAUACUGUGAGGUGGAGCUAAUCCCUAAAAGCCGGUCUCAGUUCGGAUUGGGGUCUGCAACUCGACCCCAUGAAGUCGGAGUCGCUAGUAAUCGCAGAUCAGCAACGCUGCGGUGAAUACGUUCCCGGGCCUUGUACACACCGCCCGUCAAGUCACGAAAGUUGGUAACACCCGAAGCCGAUGGCCUAACCACCUUGUGUGGGG
This 1384-nucleotide ribosomal RNA is filed under the name Glutamicibacter arilaitensis. RNAcentral's name for it is "bacterial SSU rRNA". It matches the Rfam family "Bacterial small subunit ribosomal RNA". Lineage: Bacteria; Bacillati; Actinomycetota; Actinomycetes; Micrococcales; Micrococcaceae. The record is from RNAcentral.